UCAGAUUAAUUAAGAGACUUGUUCACACCCUUUAGGACCUAUAGAAAAGCUUUAAACUAGAUGGAAUGUAAGAGUUGAGUGUCUGGAGUGAAAAAGUGAGAGCCAUACCAGAAAAGGAAUUGCCUGUAAGAAAGGAGAGCUCUUCAAUCUUAACAUUUAUUGGUUGCCAUCACCAACAACCUCACCAACCUUGGUCAGAGGAUGAUUUUGUGAUUCUCAAAGAUCUGAAGGAUUUUGUAUUUCCUCCUCUUCUUAUAGUUAUAUUAACAUAGCAUCAGAGACAACAUCAGAUGGCAACAAUGUCUGCAUUGGGAUCCCAAAACAACCUUGAUUUGGCUAGGAAUGGAAGAUUUAAUGAUCUAUAAGGAGCCUACUAAGAAGAAUAUUGGAAGACAUUUUGGAAAAGUUUCUCCUUAGUUGUGAAUCCAAAGAUCAACUAAGUGCUGACCAUGUCAUUAUAUGAGAGCCAAGGACCUGGCACAGAUGGCACACUUAUCAAAUUUGCAGAUGACACAAAGUUGGCAAGAAUAACCAACACAAUGGAUGGCAGAGGCAAGAUGUUUAAAAGCCAGGCUACAGUACUGAACUGAAUUUAAUAAAAUGAUGUUUAAUGGACUUAACAAGGCAAAUAGCCAGCUCUCCCACCUCCAAACUAGAACAGAAAAAGAAUUGUACUUAGACCUGUAAAUCUCUAUUAUGCACAAAUUGCUUUUCUUUAAAAUAUAAUGUGAACAUAUUAAAUACAAUAUGAAUAAUAAAUUCAACAUAACUUUCAAAGCUACUCAACUUCUCUGCUUAUCUGGCAUUCCUUCUGUACUCUUCCAUGAAUUUUUUUUAAAAAUCACUACAUUAUGAAGGCAGUUUUCAGACUAUUUC
Sarcophilus harrisii (Tasmanian devil) is the source of this 876-nucleotide long non-coding RNA. RefSeq lists it as uncharacterized. The transcript has 3 exons. NCBI's taxonomy places the organism in Eukaryota, Metazoa, Chordata, Mammalia, Dasyuromorphia, Dasyuridae. The record is from RefSeq and is a predicted model, not a curated record.